UGUAUUGCCAGCUAAAUUCGGCGUUGAGCUCCUCUAUUGCCUCUGAUAUCUAGAGCUACUCUUUAACCGUAUUAGGGUUUUGAAUUGAAUAUUACGGUUUUGUUUUGCUAGUGAUUGUUUUUAGCCAGUUGAAUUUGCUGUAUUCCAAUUCUAUUAGAUAUUUGGCAGUUUUAUGUACUCAGUUUAUUAUCUCUUAUUAACCAAAAUUUUUAUAUUUUCGCAAAAAAGAGAAAAAAAAAGGGUGUGGGAGUGGAAAACUGUAACAUUAAGCUUGAGGCUUCUUUUGCAACAGCAGUAUCUACCAAUUAAUAUAAUAAACAUCACAGUAAAGGUGUGCAGUGCAGCCUUUAUUUUAUGUCAUUGUUAUUGACAUGUUGAUGUGUGACCUAAAUUCCAGGGCACUGCCUCUCACCAUGUGCACACCAAUUCAUUAACAGGUUACCAAAGGUUGUAGGCUUUAGCCAAGCAACCCUUUUUCCCUCUUCACAGAGGCAGACUGAUGGUCCAGACACUAGAGAUGCAGCUAACUUUGUUUCUAAUGGGGCAAACAUGCAUGUACAUAAUUUUCAUGGGGCUUUCUCUAUUGUUUUGAUGAUCAACAGUCUGAGCCAACAGGGAAACCUUGACCUCUCUUG
This 635-nucleotide long non-coding RNA is filed under the name Manihot esculenta (cassava). Its description in RNAcentral is "long non-coding RNA (MESC_LNC000441)". The record is from RNAcentral. Lineage: Eukaryota; Viridiplantae; Streptophyta; Magnoliopsida; Malpighiales; Euphorbiaceae.